RNAcentral lists this unclassified non-coding RNA (332 nucleotides) under Bombus terrestris (buff-tailed bumblebee). Its description in RNAcentral is "misc RNA ENSBTSG00005023876.1". Lineage: Eukaryota; Metazoa; Arthropoda; Insecta; Hymenoptera; Apidae. The record is from RNAcentral.
CCGGUGAUUAGCAGCGUACACGAGGGGUAGCGAAGCAGUGCGAGAAGGAUGAAAAAUAAAAGAAAGAACGAAGAAAUUCUAGCCGAUUGUUCGGCAUGAAUGAGGCACCUUGCUCACUGGCGGCGGUCUUUUCCCCCUUGGUCGCAGGUCCCGUAAAUUUUCCAUAAGGACAAUCGGCACCGGGGUAAAAAGAUAAUCCGAUGAGUCACCACUGAUCUCGCCUUUCCCGUGUUUUCGAGCAGCGACGUCUGACUCGAGAAUUUUUCUUUGUCAGUUACUCUACCCCCUGACGGAUAACUUCGCGAAAAGGUGAAUACAGGUGAAUAUUCCUU